Molecule: long non-coding RNA, 346 nt
Organism: Neomonachus schauinslandi (Hawaiian monk seal)
Lineage: Eukaryota; Metazoa; Chordata; Mammalia; Carnivora; Phocidae
Exons: 4
Source: RefSeq, a predicted model, not a curated record
AUGGAUCUGUUUGGAGACAUAGAUGACAUUUCUUCAGAGAGCGAUGGGGACAGUGAACAAACUAUUCCAGGGCAGCCUGCUGAUGAACAUGGAGUGCCUCAGGACCAACAGGAGGAAGAGCCGAUUUCUGAAACCAGAAUAGAAGUAGAAAUCCCCAGUAUCAACUCUCAUUUAGGAAAUGAAUUGUACUUUGUUAAACUACCUAAAUUUCUCAGCAUAGAACCCAAACCUUUCGAUCCUCAGUAUUACGAAGAUGAAUUUGAAGGUGAGAAAGUGCUUGACGAGGAAGAUAGAACCAGGUUAAGAUUAAAGGUAGAAAAUACGAUAAGAUGGAGGAAACGCCGGG